GCUGGGCAUGGUGGUGUGUGCCUGUAGUCUCAGCUACUCAGGAAGCUGAGGUGGGAGGAUCUCUUGAGCCCAGGAGUUCAAGAUUACAGUGAGCUAUGAUCAUACCACUGUGCUCCAGCCUGGGCAACAGAGCAAGACCCUGUCUCUU
This is an unclassified non-coding RNA of Macaca mulatta (Rhesus monkey), 148 nucleotides long. It matches the Rfam family "Metazoan signal recognition particle RNA". From Rfam's summary of the family: The signal recognition particle (SRP) is a universally conserved ribonucleoprotein. It is involved in the co-translational targeting of proteins to membranes. The record is from Ensembl. NCBI's taxonomy places the organism in Eukaryota, Metazoa, Chordata, Mammalia, Primates, Cercopithecidae.